GGUACUGGCACUGAUCCUUUUGGUGCUCCUACAAAGACUUGGCCUUGGGAGGAUGGCACAAAUUCGUUGGCCAUGGCUAAGAGAAGAAUGAGAGCUCACUUUGAGUUCAUGGAGAAGUUGGGAGUCGACAAAUGGUGCUUCCAUGACAGGGAUAUUGCCCCGGAUGGGAAGACACUUGAAG
Long non-coding RNA from Zea mays, 181 nucleotides. RefSeq lists it as uncharacterized. NCBI's taxonomy places the organism in Eukaryota, Viridiplantae, Streptophyta, Magnoliopsida, Poales, Poaceae. The transcript has 2 exons. The record is from RefSeq and is a predicted model, not a curated record.